RNAcentral lists this ribosomal RNA (492 nucleotides) under uncultured bacterium. Its description in RNAcentral is "partial 16S ribosomal RNA". It matches the Rfam family "Bacterial small subunit ribosomal RNA", at positions 29 to 507 of the family's 1533-position model. The record is from RNAcentral.
AGUGAACGCUGGCGGUAGGCCUAACACAUGCAAGUCGAACGGCAGCACAGUAAGAGCUUGCUCUUACGGGUGGCGAGUGGCGGACGGGUGAGGAAUACAUCGGAAUCUACUUUUUCGUGGGGGAUAACGUAGGGAAACUUACGCUAAUACCGCAUACGACCUACGGGUGAAAGCAGGGGAUCUUCGGACCUUGCGCGAUUGAAUGAGCCGAUGUCGGAUUAGCUAGUUGGCGGGGUAAAGGCCCACCAAGGCGACGAUCCGUAGCUGGUCUGAGAGGAUGAUCAGCCACACGGGAUCUGAGACACGGUCCAGACUCCUACGGGAGGCAGCAGUGGGGAAUAUUGGGCAAUGGGCGAAAGCCUGAUCCAGCCAUACCGCGUGAGUGAAGAAGGCCUUCGGGUUGUAAAGCCCUUUUGUUGGGAAAGAAAAACAGCAGGUUAAUACCCCGCUGUUCUGACGGUACCCAAAGAAUAAGCACCGGCUAACUUCGUG